This 450-nucleotide ribosomal RNA is filed under the name uncultured bacterium. Its description in RNAcentral is "bacterial SSU rRNA". It matches the Rfam family "Bacterial small subunit ribosomal RNA", at positions 29 to 524 of the family's 1533-position model. The record is from RNAcentral.
AACGAACGCUGGCGGCAGGCCUAACACAUGCAAGUCGAACGCCGUAGCAAUACGGAGUGGCAGACGGGUGAGUAACGCGUGGGAACCUACCUUACGGUCGGGAAUAGCUCAGGGAAACUUGGGGGUAAUACCGGAUACGCCCUUACGGGGAAGAUUUAUCGCCGUUAGAUGGGCCCGCGUAGGAUUAGCUAGUUGGUGAGGUAAUGGCUCACCAAGGCGACGAUCCUUAGCUGGUCUGAGAGGAUGAUCAGCCACACUGGGACUGAGACACGGCCCAGACUCCUACGGGAGGUAGCAGUGGGGAAUAUUGGACAAUGGGCGCAAGCCUGAUCCAGCCAUGCCGCGUGAGUGACGAAGGCCUUAGGGUUGUAAAGGCUCUUUUGGCGGGGAAGAUAAUGACGGUACCGCAGAAUAAGCUCCGGCUAACUUCGUGCCAGCAGCCGCGGUAAU